GUGAUAAAUUGAACCUGUGAUGAAUGGUGAAAUACAUGUGUAUUGAGAUGUGUGUAUUGAGUUGUGAGCUAUGAACUGUGCAAUCAUACAAUUGUAAGACCAUUUAAGGGCGACAAGUUUUUGCGUGACGAGUAUUGUGAUGGGAUCCACUGUGCGGACCCGACGAGUUUAAUCACAAGUGUGAUGAGAUAAAAUUAUUUUGAAAACAAUUGAAAAGUCGUGUGUAUUGCAUAGUUCAU
Molecule: long non-coding RNA, 239 nt
Filed under: Glycine max (soybean)
Lineage: Eukaryota; Viridiplantae; Streptophyta; Magnoliopsida; Fabales; Fabaceae
Description: long non-coding RNA (GMAX_LNC001816)
Source: RNAcentral